Molecule: ribosomal RNA, 498 nt
Filed under: Aspergillus sp. OGGK-2009
Lineage: Eukaryota; Fungi; Ascomycota; Eurotiomycetes; Eurotiales; Aspergillaceae
Description: eukaryotic LSU rRNA
Rfam family: 5.8S ribosomal RNA (bases 127-280)
Source: RNAcentral
GCUUCGGCGGGCCCGCCAUUCAUGGCCGCUCGAGGGGCUCUCAGCCCCGGGCCCGCGCCCGCCGGAGACACCACGAACUCUGUCUGAUCUAGUGAAGUCUGAGUUGAUUGUAUCGCAAUCAGUUAAAACUUUCAACAAUGGAUCUCUUGGUUCCGGCAUCGAUGAAGAACGCAGCGAAAUGCGAUAACUAGUGUGAAUUGCAGAAUUCCGUGAAUCAUCGAGUCUUUGAACGCACAUUGCGCCCCCUGGUAUUCCGGGGGGCAUGCCUGUCCGAGCGUCAUUGCUGCCCAUCAAGCACGGCUUGUGUGUUGGGUCGUCGUCCCCUCUCCGGGGGGGACGGGCCCCAAAGGCAGCGGCGGCACCGCGUCCGAUCCUCGAGCGUAUGGGGCUUUGUCACCCGCUCUGUAGGCCCGGCCGGCGCUUGCCGAACGCAAAUCAAUCUUUUUCCCAGGUUGACCUCGGAUCAGGUAGGGAUACCCGCUGAACUUAAGCAUAUCA